Haliotis rubra (blacklip abalone) is the source of this 392-nucleotide long non-coding RNA. RefSeq lists it as uncharacterized. The record is from RefSeq and is a predicted model, not a curated record. Lineage: Eukaryota; Metazoa; Mollusca; Gastropoda; Lepetellida; Haliotidae. The transcript has 3 exons.
AAAAGGCACCACGGCAGAACGGCACCAAAAUCGUGCGGCGAAAACGGCACCGUAUUGGCGAAAACGGCCACUGAUUUCGGAGCUACAACGGCACCAUAUACAAAACACAGUAUGAUGUUGACUUUUAUGUUUUAGUUCGUUUAAUUAUAACAUUAGAAUCAACAUAUAAAAAACACAGUAUGACGUUGACUUAUGGUUUUUAUUUCAGCAAGAUUAUAACACGCGAUAUAGCUGGAAUAUUGCUAAAAGCGGCGUAAAAUCAUAACUCACUCAAUCAACCAUUACAUUAAAAUAACAAGAUUAUAAUAAAGACGAUAACAAACCGUCAACAUUACACAUGUUCACACGUCCAUAUUUGGCCGGAUGCUUAUUUGGCCGAAUGUCUUCAUGAA